This 67-nucleotide transfer RNA is filed under the name Dicyrtomina saundersi. Its description in RNAcentral is "tRNA-Ser". The record is from RNAcentral. Lineage: Eukaryota; Metazoa; Arthropoda; Collembola; Symphypleona; Dicyrtomidae.
AAGGAAAGAAGAUCAACUUUAAGCCGCUAACUUAAAAGUCUAUGGGUUAAACUCCUAUGUUUCCUUU